UACGUAGGGUCCGAGCGUUUGUCCGGAAUUACUGGGCGUAAAGAGCUCGUAGGUGGUUUGUCGCGUUGUUCGUGAAAACUCACAGCUCAACUGUGGGCGUGCGGGCGAUACGGGCAGACUUGAGUACUGCAGGGGAGACUGGAAUUCCUGGUGUAGCGGUGGAAUGCGCAGAUAUCAGGAGGAACACCGGUGGCGAAGGCGGGUCUCUGGGCAGAUACUGACGCUGAGGAGCGAAAGCGUGGGGAGCGAACAGG
Molecule: ribosomal RNA, 254 nt
Filed under: uncultured bacterium
Lineage: Bacteria
Description: partial 16S ribosomal RNA
Rfam family: Bacterial small subunit ribosomal RNA
Source: RNAcentral